Molecule: non-coding RNA, 97 nt
Filed under: Marivirga sericea
Lineage: Bacteria; Pseudomonadati; Bacteroidota; Cytophagia; Cytophagales; Marivirgaceae
Description: TPP sequence
Rfam family: TPP riboswitch aptamer (THI element)
About the family: Vitamin B(1) in its active form thiamin pyrophosphate (TPP) is an essential coenzyme that is synthesised by coupling of pyrimidine and thiazole moieties in bacteria. The previously detected thiamin-regulatory element, thi box was extended, resulting in a new, highly conserved RNA secondary structure, the THI element, which is widely distributed in eubacteria and also occurs in some archaea.
Source: RNAcentral
UCUUUUGAGUAGGGGUGCCUUAAUACAACGGGCUGAGAUCAUACCCAAUGAACCUGAUACCGGUAAUGCGAUCGCAGGGAUUUUGGUUAAGGAAAAU